This 246-nucleotide ribosomal RNA is filed under the name uncultured bacterium. Its description in RNAcentral is "partial 16S ribosomal RNA". It matches the Rfam family "Bacterial small subunit ribosomal RNA", at positions 523 to 769 of the family's 1533-position model. The record is from RNAcentral.
AUACGUAGGGGGCAAGCGUUAUCCGGAAUUAUUGGGCGUAAAGAGUGCGUAGGUGGUCUUGUAAGCGUGGGGUGAAAGGCAGUGGCUUAACCAUUGUAAGCCUUGCGAACUGUAAGACUUGAGUGCAGGAGAGGAAAGCGGAAUUCCUAGUGUAGCGGUGAAAUGCGUAGAUAUUAGGAGGAACACCAGUGGCGAAGGCGGCUUUCUGGACUGUAACUGACACUGAGGCACGAAAGCGUGGGGAGC